Molecule: ribosomal RNA, 601 nt
Filed under: uncultured bacterium
Lineage: Bacteria
Description: bacterial SSU rRNA
Rfam family: Bacterial small subunit ribosomal RNA (bases 1-519)
Source: RNAcentral
CCUACGGGAGGCAGCAGUGGGGAAUAUUGGACAAUGGGCGAAAGCCUGAUCCAGCAAUGCCGCGUGAGUGAUGAAGGCCUUAGGGUUGUAAAGCUCUUUUACCAGGGAUGAUAAUGACAGUACCUGGAGAAUAAGCUCCGGCUAACUCCGUGCCAGCAGCCGCGGUAAUACGGAGGGAGCUAGCGUUGUUCGGAAUUACUGGGCGUAAAGCGCACGUAGGCGGCUAUUCAAGUCAGAGGUGAAAGCCCAGGGCUCAACCCUGGAACUGCCUUUGAAACUAGAUAGCUAGAAUCUUGGAGAGGUCAGUGGAAUUCCGAGUGUAGAGGUGAAAUUCGUAGAUAUUCGGAAGAACACCAGUGGCGAAGGCGACUGACUGGACAAGUAUUGACGCUGAGGUGCGAAAGCGUGGGGAGCAAACAGGGUUAGAUACCCUGGUAGUCCACGCCGUAAACGAUGAUAACUAGCUGUCCGGACACUUGGUGUUUGGGUGGCGCNGCUACGACAUUAAGUUAGUCCGUCCGUCGGGAGGUACGGUCGCGAGAUAAACUAACAAGAAGUAGACGGCGNGAGACGUGCCGACGACGACGACGAGGGAGGUAGG